UACCGUGUGCCAGACCCUUCACUGGGC
RNAcentral lists this non-coding RNA (27 nucleotides) under Homo sapiens (human). The record is from RNAcentral. Lineage: Eukaryota; Metazoa; Chordata; Mammalia; Primates; Hominidae.